UACGGAGGGGGUCAGCGUUGUUCGGAAUUACUGGGCGUAAAGCGCGCGCAGGUGGUUUCACAAGUCAGUGGUGAAAGCCCGGAGCUCAACUCCGGAACUGCCAUUGAAACUGUGAAGCUCGAGGACGAGAGAGGUGAGUGGAAUUCCCAGUGUAGAGGUGAAAUUCGUAGAUAUUGGGAAGAACACCGGUGGCGAAGGCGGCUCACUGGCUCGUAUCUGACGCUCAAGCGCGACAGCGUGGGGAGCAAACAGG
RNAcentral lists this ribosomal RNA (253 nucleotides) under uncultured bacterium. RNAcentral describes it as "partial 16S ribosomal RNA". It matches the Rfam family "Bacterial small subunit ribosomal RNA", at positions 524 to 776 of the family's 1533-position model. The record is from RNAcentral.